Heterocephalus glaber (naked mole-rat) is the source of this 769-nucleotide long non-coding RNA. Lineage: Eukaryota; Metazoa; Chordata; Mammalia; Rodentia; Bathyergidae. The record is from Ensembl.
AAACUCUCUGAUGUCAACCUUUCUGACAUCAGUAUGUCCUUUGUGACCUCAAUAGUAUCAAUGGGAUCACAUCAGAGGGAGAAAGAAGCCAUGUGAAAUAACUCAUUAUGACCAGAAUGGAAGAAGAAAACACAAGAAGUUGUUCAAGGGAAAAAUAUUAGCUGACAGGAAGGAGAAGUGAUACUCUGAAAAUCUAUCAAGUUUUGACUAUGUUUAAGUCACCCUGUGAAACAGAUGUUGCUGUCAUCCUCAUGCUAUUGACAAGCGAAGCUCAGAGAGCAUUCCCUUUGGUAUCCUUGAGCCACCAUGCAAGAGAUCUGGCUAGCCUUUUGGGGUAGCCACUUGGACAGGUGUUGGUCUAACACUAUAGACAACAUCCCAGUUAAGCUUCCAGGUGAUACCAACCUCAGCUCCCAUCUUCAAUAACACAAAAGACUCCAAAAAGGCUAGCAGCAGAAGAAGCAUUUAGGUUGAAGGAUUAUGGCUGGUUUAUGUUCAAGUUCAAUAAUUCUCCCACCGUCUUCAUUCUAUCAAGUCAUCCAGUGAAUUCUUACUCAGGCAAACCAUGAGUGGGAGGCAGAGGAUCCUGGCCCCUCCUCCUUCAGGCUGGACUGCUCUGUCCUCACGGCCAGCUGAUCUGAGGGUAUCUGUGGAAUUCAAGAGGGGGCAGCAAGCUCGGGGUUGGGAAGCCUCAGGAUCAAGUCCAAGCUCUGAGAUUCUGAGAGGUUGCUUUACCCAGAGGGGCCUCAGGUUCCCACUCUGUCUGAUG